UUUCAUUCAAUUAAAACGGGUUGGGAUUAAAUGUGUUCAAAAUACAAACUUUAGAAUGUAUUGUGUUCAUUGUCGAAAAAUCUCGUUUGAGGUUGUGGGCGGCGGAUCUGAAGAUGUGGUGGUGGUGGUGAGUAUGGUGGUUGUGCAAGAGGGCGGAGCUGGGUUGUGGGCGGCGGAUGUGAAGAAGAUGUGGUGAUGGUGGUGAGCUUGGUGGUUGUGCAAGAGGGCGGAGCUGGUUCCUGGUGGUGAGCGGCGGAC
RNAcentral lists this long non-coding RNA (258 nucleotides) under Erythranthe guttata (spotted monkey flower). RNAcentral describes it as "long non-coding RNA (EGUT_LNC002340)". Lineage: Eukaryota; Viridiplantae; Streptophyta; Magnoliopsida; Lamiales; Phrymaceae. The record is from RNAcentral.